GCCCAUUCCACUGAGUCCUCCCUUCUCGCAAUGCGCGUAAUGACACCUCACAAACAAACCUCACUUCAGUAUGUUAACACUCAAUGGACAUCCCACAGAACCUCUACCACACCCUCUUGCCAUCCAGGGCUCUCCAUGCCUUGAUCACCUUCUUUUCCUGCCAUGGCAGUGUUCACACGUAGAGGUCAGAGGAAAUUUGGAAACAAGCAGUGCACGGACAGUGUUGUUGCCAUCUGCUGACAGUGCCCCCAUGCCCCACUCCUGGAGGGGACAGUGGGGCUAGCCAUGAAUGGAGCACAACCAUCCUGUCCCAGGGAGCACAAAGAGGUGAUUCCUGCCAGGAAGUGAAGGUGAGGAACUGAGCAAAAGGUUGUUCAUUGCUGGGACCUCAAGAGAACACAUGCCGUCAACAAGAAGCAUAGGUGUCCUGCACUGGUUGAAUGGAAAAUUGUCCUUCCUCCAUUGA
Non-coding RNA from Meleagris gallopavo (turkey), 466 nucleotides. Lineage: Eukaryota; Metazoa; Chordata; Aves; Galliformes; Phasianidae. The record is from RefSeq and is a predicted model, not a curated record.